CCUACGGGGGGCUGCAGUGGGGAAUAUUGGACAAUGGGCGCAAGCCUGAUCCAGCCAUGCCGCGUGAGUGAUGAAGGCCUUAGGGUUGUAAAGCUCUUUUAGCAGGGACGAUAAUGACGGUACCUGCAGAAAAAGCCCCGGCCAACUUCGUGCCAGCAGCCGCGGUAAUACGAAGGGGGCUAGCGUUGCUCGGAAUCACUGGGCGUAAAGCGCACGUAGGUGGGUCGUUAAGUCGGGGGUGAAAUCCCAGAGCUCAACUCUGGAACUGCCUUCGAUACUGGCGACCUUCGAGUUCGGGAGAGGUGAGUGGAACUGCGAGUGUAGAGGUGAAAUUCGUAGAUAUUCGCAAGAACACCAGUGGCGAAGGCGGCUCACUGGCCCGAUACUGACACUGAGGUGCGAAAGCGUGGGGAGCAAACAGGAUUAGAUACCCGAGUAGUC
This 441-nucleotide ribosomal RNA is filed under the name uncultured Hyphomicrobiales bacterium. RNAcentral's name for it is "bacterial SSU rRNA". It matches the Rfam family "Bacterial small subunit ribosomal RNA", at positions 338 to 795 of the family's 1533-position model. The record is from RNAcentral. Lineage: Bacteria; Pseudomonadati; Pseudomonadota; Alphaproteobacteria; Hyphomicrobiales.